GGAGAGAGAGCGCGGGCGGGCGGUAGAGGAGGGUGGCGGGCGCCGACGUCGCAGUCGAGGGGGAGCAGGGCCAGUCGGCCGGAGCUGGAGGCCGGCGCUGGAGGAAGGAGCGGCGAGGAGAGAGGCGCCGGCCAUCGGGGACCUCCUAGCCCUCUUCUCCUUGUCGCCAUGGCAGGUGGAGCUCGAGCCAUCGGUCAGCCUCCCCCUCCCCAUGCGUAGAACAAUGUGUGCAGAUCUGUAAAAGAAGAGAAGAGGAAGAAUCCCAAGGAAGAGUUUGGUGAAGAAGAAUAAGGUGACUAUGUGAGUUGCAUUGACAGAAUCCAUGUAUUAAGCUGGGGCAUUUUUGGCAGCUGCAGCAACCUGACAAUUCAUUUGUUCUCAUACAAGAUGCUUGUGAAGUACAUGGGGAAGGCGCGCAUGGUUGAUAAUUAUGUUCUGGAUUGGAGGCCGAAGCAAACUCCGUCAGGUUUCAGAUAAUUACUUCAGGUUAGGCGGGAGAAAUAAAAAGGGUAACCAUAGAUAUAUGGUGUAGCAUCAUGAGGUUCAGGUUCCUGCUGUUGAUCAACCGUUGCUUCGGUCGAGUGCGAACCCGGAUCAGUUGCUGCUCCAAACCAGACAAUUUGGAGGAUGAAUCUUAUGUUCAUUGGUUUCUGAUGAAGGAAAGUAUCCUAUGUGCAGAGCAGAGUAGAUAUAAAGUUCAGUUCUAUGGUCCUGCUCAGAUGUUAUAUCUUGAAUGCAUUUAACUUUCAUCGAUGCUCCCACUAAGUCUUUGUUGAUGCAGCUGAUUCGGGUUACUACAAAUGAACCACAGCUAGCAUGUCAGGCCAAAGUAGAAGAGUUGGCAGGAUUGUAUGCUUCUAUCUCAAAAGAAGGUUUUCUGUUUGUCAACUCUACAUCAGGCCAAGAGCUAGCUUAUGUCUCACUCACAAUAUCAUAACUUCCCGACAAUAGUGCUACAUGCUUCGGUUAGUCUCUUUCUUGUGCACAUUUAUUUGCUGGUGAGGGAAGCAGUUUUAACAUGUGUGUUUUCCCUAUGCUGGCAUUUGCUUCUUCCGAUAAUUAAUAUUAGUUAUCCAUUUGCAGUAUAGUUAAUCUCUCUAAUGAGUAACAUUGUUAUUGCAAAUGAUCUCGGUAUUUUUUUAUUUACUUUUGCAUAUUGUUGCUUUCAGUAAUAUUCCACCCAAAGGAUAAUAUUUUUAUAUCUCUAAUUUCUACUUUGCAGCAAUGGAUAGUUGUGCUUUGGUUCCUCUAGCUUUUUUUUUUGAAGAUGUAGUUCCUCUAUCCUUUUGUAGAAACUAGGUACCUCCUGUACUUUAGGUAUAUAUAAGUCUUUUGUAGAAACUAUUGUUAAUAUCUCAAAAAUAAGAAGGUUACCUUUUCCUUUACUUGUGUACUUGGAACCAAAUCGUUCGUUACCAAUUGUAUCGGGACACUAUUUUAUAGAAGAUACGGCUUACUGUGCAUUGAAACAAUAGCCGCAGAGUUUGGUCUUUGUGUUAUCUCUAUACAUUUGAUUUGGAUUUGUCCUGAUUUAAGUAAAGAAGCCUCCGUUAAUACUGAACCGUUUUGUGUUCAUUCUGUUGUCUUCAGACAUAUGUAUUUUGAGAAUCAUUCUGAAACCAGGGUUCAAAGCGCUGAGAAAAUAUGGUUCUAUCUUGUGCUAAUGUUUCAAAGGGAGAUGUACAAAAAGAAUCAUAACUGUUGACGCAUAUCUACUAGCAGACUAAAAGAAUUGGUUGCUACUCCAUUCAAUGACUAUGUGAUUAGCAAAGUGGCUCGCAUCUUUUACUGGACAUUUUGUUUAUUAGUGUGUUUGCAUAGGAACACUGGAAUGCCCAGUAAGGUACUGAGGUGUUAUGUAACUACUAUCUUAACUCUUCUGCAGGUGUUUCUUCUCUGUUGUUUUUCUUUAGAUCUGAACCAUACCCUAUCAUAGAUAAGAUAUGUUGGAGAUUGUCUUGACGAUACAACUUCACAAUCAUAGGACAUUCUACAGGAAAUAAAUAAGUAUUAUUUUGGAUUGGACGAUGGUAUUGAACGCAUUUGUGCUUUGGGCAAUGACAGUCCACCAAACAAACCCACCAUUAAGUGCUGCUUAGAUGAUAAAGUCAUCUUCAAUGUAUACUCUUUCAAUACAUGGCUUACUCUCGGCCUUUGCACCAUCCAUCUUUUCUAAUAUAGCCUGUCUUUUAAAGCCAAUGUAUGCUAUUACCAAGUGAUCUGAAUAUUUUCUUUUAAGCAUCAAGCUUUCAUGUAAUGGAAUAUAAGUCUCUUUAAGUUAUUCUAAGUCAAUCUCAUACACAUGCUUUGAAUGCUUGGCUCGCUUUUGCUUUUUGCGCCAUGGUCAAACGUGCAGCGAUGACUUUGUCUAAUGUUUAUCACUUCAAUAUGUGCUUGCAUAAUAUUAAUGUACACUCUUUCAAUACAUGGCUUGCUCUCGGCCUUUGCGCCAUUGGCGCAACU
Long non-coding RNA from Triticum dicoccoides, 2463 nucleotides. RefSeq lists it as uncharacterized. The transcript is spliced from 8 exons. The record is from RefSeq and is a predicted model, not a curated record. Lineage: Eukaryota; Viridiplantae; Streptophyta; Magnoliopsida; Poales; Poaceae.